GGGCUGUAGCUUACUGGUAGAGAGCACUUACCUAGCAUUUAUGAAGCCCUGGGUUCAAUUCCCAGCCCCA
This 70-nucleotide transfer RNA is filed under the name Fukomys damarensis (Damara mole-rat). It matches the Rfam family "tRNA". Rfam says of the family: Transfer RNA (tRNA) molecules are approximately 80 nucleotides in length. The record is from Rfam by way of RNAcentral. Lineage: Eukaryota; Metazoa; Chordata; Mammalia; Rodentia; Bathyergidae.